Molecule: ribosomal RNA, 253 nt
Filed under: uncultured bacterium
Lineage: Bacteria
Description: partial 16S ribosomal RNA
Rfam family: Bacterial small subunit ribosomal RNA
Source: RNAcentral
UACGGAGGGUGCAAGCGUUAUCCGGAUUCACUGGGUUUAAAGGGUGUGUAGGCGGGUAUUUAAGUCAGUGGUGAAAUCUCCAGGCUCAACCUGGAAACUGCCAUUGAUACUAUUUAUCUUGAAUAUUGUUGAGGUAGGCGGAAUAUGUCAUGUAGCGGUGAAAUGCUUAGAUAUGACAUAGAACACCGAUUGCGAAGGCAGCUUGCUAAACAAUUAUUGACGCUGAGGCACGAAGGCGUGGGGAUCAAACAGG